ACAAUGGAGAGUUUGAUCCUGGCUCAGGAUGAACGCUAGCUACAGGCUUAACACAUGCAAGUCGAGGGGAAACGACAUCGAAAGCUUGCUUUUGAUGGGCGUCGACCGGCGCACGGGUGAGUAACGCGUAUCCAACCUGCCCACCACUUGGGGAUAACCUUGCGAAAGUAAGACUAAUACCCAAUGAUAUCUCUAGAAGACAUCUGAAAGAGAUUAAAGAUUUAUCGGUGAUGGAUGGGGAUGCGUCUGAUUAGCUUGUUGGCGGGGUAACGGCCCACCAAGGCAACGAUCAGUAGGGGUUCUGAGAGGAAGGUCCCCCACAUUGGA
RNAcentral lists this ribosomal RNA (327 nucleotides) under Segatella copri. RNAcentral describes it as "bacterial SSU rRNA". It matches the Rfam family "Bacterial small subunit ribosomal RNA", at positions 1 to 317 of the family's 1533-position model. The record is from RNAcentral. Lineage: Bacteria; Pseudomonadati; Bacteroidota; Bacteroidia; Bacteroidales; Prevotellaceae.